RNAcentral lists this long non-coding RNA (463 nucleotides) under Elaeis guineensis (African oil palm). RNAcentral describes it as "long non-coding RNA (EGUI_LNC036524)". The record is from RNAcentral. Lineage: Eukaryota; Viridiplantae; Streptophyta; Magnoliopsida; Arecales; Arecaceae.
UGGCAAAGAAAAAUUAUCCUUCGGACAAGCUUCGUUCAGAUUUGCGUAGUCGAUGCAGAUUCUCUAUUUUUUAUUAGACUUUCUCACCAUCACUACAUUGGUGAGCCAAUCAGGAUAAGUAGCUUCUCUGAUGAAGUCAGCUGUGAGGAGCUUGUCGACUUUCUCAUCGAUGACUUUCUAUCUUUCAAAAGCAAAAGGCCUUUUCUUUUGUCUCACUGGCUUGAUCUUUGGGUCAAUAUUGAGUCGAUGAGUUAUUACUUUUGGAGGAUUUGCUGACAUGUCUGUUGCUGAUCAAGUAAAAAUGUCAGUAUUUAUGCUCAGUAGCUUUAUUAAUUGUUGUCACUCCAGAUCAGAUAGCUGUGAUCUAAUUUGGACCGUCUUCUCAGAAUCUUCUUCUUUUAAUGGAAAGAAAAUCAGUUGUUCGGCUGGUUCACCCUUUUCUUCAUUCUCUCUUUGGUCUAGU